UACUGAACCUGGGAAAGAACAAUCUCAUAGGAAAUAUACCUGAAAAGUUUUCUUAUAAUUGUGAGUUACAGAGCCUUGACCUCAGUCAGAAUCACUUAACAGGUGUGCUUCCUCGUUCUUUGUCCAACUGCACAAAGUUAAAGGUAUUAAAUAUUGGAAAGAACAAGAUCAAGGAUACUUUCCCCUGCUGGUUGAUGAACAUGUCAG
This 207-nucleotide unclassified non-coding RNA is filed under the name Hevea brasiliensis (rubber tree). The record is from RNAcentral. Lineage: Eukaryota; Viridiplantae; Streptophyta; Magnoliopsida; Malpighiales; Euphorbiaceae.